RNAcentral lists this small RNA (53 nucleotides) under Arabidopsis thaliana (thale cress). RNAcentral's name for it is "ATSL256830". Lineage: Eukaryota; Viridiplantae; Streptophyta; Magnoliopsida; Brassicales; Brassicaceae. The record is from RNAcentral.
GGAAAAGUUAAUGAUUAAAAUGCUACGGACGGUAUUAGAAAAUAAUAAGAAUU